GGUUGUCGUCAGCUCGUGUCGUGAGAUGUUGGUUAAGUCCCGCAACGAGCGCAACCCCUAUUGUUAGUUGCCAUCAUUCAGUUGGGCACUCUAGCGAGACUGCCGGUAAUAAACCGGAGGAAGGUGGGGAUGACGUCAAAUCAUCAUGCCCCUUAUGACCUGGGCUACACACGUGCUACAAUGGUUGGUACAACGAGUUGCGAGUCGGUGACGGCGAGCUAAUCUCUUAAAGCCAAUCUCAGUUCGGAUUGUAGGCUGCAACUCGCCUACAUGAAGUCGGAAUCGCUAGUAAUCGCGGAUCAGCACGCCCGCGGUCCGAAUACGUUCCGGGCCUU
Molecule: ribosomal RNA, 335 nt
Filed under: uncultured Streptococcus sp.
Lineage: Bacteria; Bacillati; Bacillota; Bacilli; Lactobacillales; Streptococcaceae
Description: bacterial SSU rRNA
Rfam family: Bacterial small subunit ribosomal RNA
Source: RNAcentral